GGACAUGUAAGGAUGCAGCAGAUAAUGGUGGCUCGAGGUGAUGGCUCCAGCUCUGAGCUUGCCUUUUUGGGCAGAUAGGCAAUAUAGGCACCCUACCAACUUCAAGACAGUCCCUUUCCCUCUAUGGCAGGAAUAACUCGUCUGGUUUGCCAAGGCUUCACUAUAAACAAAAUGCCUAAUGAAGUAUUUUUCUAACAAUUUUCUUCUCCUAGAGCUGCUGGAGGUCAGAGCCAUCCCAGAGCAGUUUGCUCACCUGUGGACUUCAGCUACACCAGCACAGACCUUCCAUGUCUACUGGGGAGAGGUGACAGCACUGAUUAAUUUGACCUUCUGCUCUACAAAUGAUAAUCUACAUCUGUGUCUUAUUCUGGAACAGAGCCCAAAGUCCUGGAUCUGUUGUAUCUCGGCACACAAUUGCAAAAGGAGGAAUGUGAUGUGAUUCUAGAAGUGCAGCAGAAGGGAGGAAGCUGCACUUCCCCAAGGUUCCCUGCCCACUUAAAGACCAUAUUCAUCAGGAUACACCUGCUGAGUUUCUUGCUGUGAACAUCUGACAGGCAGCUGAUAAAAAAGGACAGAACCGAGGGAGCAGAGAGCCAAAGAAUGAAAGGAUGCAAAAGAUGUUGGCAUUUUCCUGCUUACUUUUGGGAUGCUGCUGUGAUUCAAUGCAAGCUAAAAUGGCUUUGUCCUCACACUGGGUGCACAGCAAAAUGGAUGCAUUGCUGUGUGGAAUCCAGUGUCCCCUGCUCCAAGUGCUGUUCCCCCUUUUAACAAGGAGAUUUAACCAAAUGGGGAGCUGACGUUACUUCCUAAGGGUGCAGACAUUCCUAACAAGGAGGUCAAUGACAACUUCAAGCAUAGCAAAAAGAUUAUUCCUCUCAUUCUUCAGAACAACAUUAUCAUUUAUUACCUGUCACUGGGAAUACAAUAAGAAUCCUAAAGAUGUCUUGGAGACAAUUUGGAGAAGCAAAACUUACAAUUUGCAAACUGCACAUAACAUUUCUCUGAGACAUAAAAAGUUCCUGAGGUUCCUGCCUGCAAGAGGGUGCCAUAAGCAUCCCUGCAGAUAUUUAUUCUGACCUCCUGGACCUUUGUCCGGGGCUCAUUCAUUGGGUUUAAAUAAAUAAGCAUUAACAAACCCAAGGCUUCAGAUCUUCUACUGUCCUGCACUGAGCCAGGAUCUUAGGCAAAGAGGCUUAAGUCACAUCUAUAUUUCCUUUGACCUAGAGACAGAGCACAGCUCAGUAUAUCCCAGUUAUGGAGCAAAAAUACCUCUGUGGCUGUACAACCUUGCAUUCAGCUGCCUGAGAAAUCUUUAGAAACUGCUGUAAAAGCAGAUCACCACAGGCUGGCAUUCCCUGCUUGCUGCAGACACUUUCACAUGCAGCACUGGCUGGGCAGAGCAGCCAGAGCCCCAGCCCUGACUUACUUGCACGACAGCCUCAGGAAUCCUCCUGGUGCUGCCUCGCCAGCCUUGGGUAGUGCUGCACUGCAGGAAUACAGUGCCCAGGCUCUCAGAGCCAGCCCUUGAGCUUUGGUAGCUGCCAGGACAAAAGACAAUCUCUAAACGUCAGCCAAUAUAAUCUCACAGACAUCACCUAUAACUUUACCUGG
Molecule: long non-coding RNA, 1611 nt
Organism: Zonotrichia albicollis (white-throated sparrow)
Lineage: Eukaryota; Metazoa; Chordata; Aves; Passeriformes; Passerellidae
Source: RefSeq, a predicted model, not a curated record